GACGAACGCUGGCGGCGUGCUUAACACAUGCAAGUCGAACGGAAAGGCCCUGCUUUUGUGGGGUGCUCGAGUGGUGAACGGGUGAGUAACACGUGGGUAACCUGCCCUUGACUUUGGGAUAACUUCGGGAAACUGGGGCUAAUACCGGAUAGGAGCUCCUGCUGCAUGGGGGGGGUGGGAAAGUUUCGGCGGUUGGGGAUGGACUCGGGGCUUAUCAGCUUGUUGGUGGGGUAGUGGGUUACCAAGGCUUUGACGGGUAGCCGGCCUGAGAGGGUGACCGGCCACAUUGGGACUGAGAUACGGCCCAGACUCCUAAGGGAGGCAGCAGUGGGGAAUAUUGCACAAUGGGCGGAAGCCUGAUGCAGCAACGCCGCGUGCGGGAUGACGGCCUUCGGGUUGUAAACCGCUUUCGCCUGUGACGAAGCGUGAGUGACGGUAAUGGGUAAAGAAGCACCGGCUAACUACGUG
RNAcentral lists this ribosomal RNA (468 nucleotides) under uncultured bacterium. RNAcentral's name for it is "partial 16S ribosomal RNA". It matches the Rfam family "Bacterial small subunit ribosomal RNA", at positions 28 to 507 of the family's 1533-position model. The record is from RNAcentral.